RNAcentral lists this ribosomal RNA (445 nucleotides) under uncultured bacterium. Its description in RNAcentral is "bacterial SSU rRNA". It matches the Rfam family "Bacterial small subunit ribosomal RNA", at positions 331 to 793 of the family's 1533-position model. The record is from RNAcentral.
GCCAACUCCUACGGGAGGCAGCAGUGGGGGAUAUUGCACAAUGGGGGAAACCCUGAUGCAGCGACGCCGCGUGAGUGAAGAAGUAUUUCGGUAUGUAAAGCUCUAUCAGCAGGGAAGAAGAUGACAGUACCUGAGUAAGAAGCCCCGACUAACUACGUGCCAGCAGCCGCGGUAAUACGUAGGGGGCAAGCGUUAUCCGGAUUUACUGGGUGUAAAGGGAGCGUAGACGGUUAUGUAAGUCUGGAGUGAAAGCCCGGGGCCCAACCCCGGGACUGCUUUGGAAACUGUGUAACUAGAGUACAGGAGGGGCAGGCGGAAUUCCUGGUGUAGCGGUGAGAUGCGUAGAUAUCAGGAGGAACACCAGUGGCGAAGGCGGCUUACUGGACUGUAACUGACGUUGAGGCUCGAAAGCGUGGGGAGCAAACAGGAUUAGAUACCCGAGUAC